This 379-nucleotide ribosomal RNA is filed under the name uncultured eukaryote. RNAcentral describes it as "partial 18S ribosomal RNA". It matches the Rfam family "Eukaryotic small subunit ribosomal RNA", at positions 592 to 976 of the family's 1831-position model. The record is from RNAcentral.
CAAUAGCGUAUAUUAAAGUUGUUGCAGUUAAAAAGCUCGUAGUUGAACUUCAGACCUGGCCGGGCGGUCUGCCUAACGGUAUGUACUGUCUGGCUGGGUCUUACCUCUUGGUGAGCCGGCAUGCCCUUUACUGGGUGUGUCGGGGAACCAGGACUUUUACCUUGAGAAAAUUAGAGUGUUCAAAGCAGGCCUAUGCCUGAAUACAUUAGCAUGGAAUAAUAAAAUAGGACGUGCGGUUCUAUUUUGUUGGUUUCUAGAGUCGCCGUAAUGAUUAAUAGGGAUAGUUGGGGGCAUUAGUAUUCAGUUGCUAGAGGUGAAAUUCUUGGAUUUACGGAAGACUAACUACUGCGAAAGCAUUUGCCAAGGAUGUUUUCAUUAA